CCCGAGUAGACGAGCGCCGUGCUUGCCUGCCAUCACUUUGAAACCAGCCGUGUGUUUAAGAGUGUCCAUGACCCGUAGAUGUGAACGGAGAGGGGAACACAGCAGAGAGAGAGCGGGAGAGAGAGAGAGAGUGAGAGACUCCGCAGACCCCAGCAGGGUCAGAUCCAGGGAAGAGGACGGGAUCCAGGGGAGAGGGGGGAAGGAGUGAGGAGAGGGUCCAUCUGCCACAGAGCAUGAGAGGGCUGCAUCUAGAGAGUUGGGGGGCCUUGUUUGUGCCACGUUUUCAAAUUCCCUCGAAUGCCACGCCAGUAAUCCGCUUGCAAUCCUUCUGGCAAUUUCUUUUUUUUUUAUAAAAUGAUGAAUUCCUUUCUGUCUUGAUGCAUUUCCACCAGCUGGGCUUUAAGACCGUCUUGCAUUUUUAAGAAGGAGCUGAUGUUUAUGUUCGGAUGGCAAUGAAUUUAGUCUGAAUUUUUUGUUCAUAUUGUUUCAUAUUGUAUAGUUUGUGCAAUUGUCAAACUUUGACGCUCUCGUCACCAUCAUAUUCGACAGAAAAGUGGACAAAUUAAAACAACUUUUAAUGAUAUUGCUAUUGUAUUAUUUCCUCCUGUGUCAUAUUACAUGUAGUUUUUAAUACUUCUUACAGCGACAGCAGUGACAGUAAUAUAUUAAAAGAUAAUCCCAAAAUAAUAAGCAUAUUUAACGUCACAUCCAUCUGUACACAGUGAAGAAAAGAAAAAAGGUUAAUACUUUAAACUUGCUUGUGCUACCUGAUCACAGCUCGCAUUAAUUGAACCCCGGCCAAAGAAUACAUGAAGAAUGCGUCAUUAGUGCACACAGUCACACAAUGGUUUACAAACUCGUUUCUUUUCUUCCUUUGCAUGUAAUCUCUUUGCCAUGAAGAACCUGGACAUUUCUGUACCAUUAAUGCUGGUUUCAAUUGAACAAAAAUAAACGUCCCCGGAAUUCAACCUUGUUGGAGCAUUUUGCAUAAAUGAGGAUGGAAGCGACGCCAUGUCAUUUGAUAUUCAUCCGUCUUUGUAUUCAUUGGGUUCACCUGCUUCUUCCACAGCCACCGUCGCUGCUGCGUCUAUCGCUGCUGUCAUUUUAUUAUACGGGUGCAACAGAUGCUGGCAGUUUAUACCAGUCUGUAUACGUCUAUCUCAGCAGCAGCCAGGGUAGUCAAAGCUCAAAGCAACACGUUGUUGGGUGGAGAGAUGACACAGGCAAUGCUGGCUGCUCUCGUGCCACAUUUGGCAGCUCUGUUUUCUCACUGAGCUUUCCAUUUCUAACUGGGAGCAUCAUCUGGCCACCACCACCACCACCACCACCUCCAUUCUGCUGAACAAUUGAACGCGCACCCGACAAGCUGAGGUCGAGGGGGAGUUGGAUGGUGGCGCUUGUCAUUCUUGCCAUAACAAAAGGAUUAUUCAGUUUUCCCUAUGACUUUCCAUUUGCCCAUUGUCUUGAUGGCUUAUUCCAACGAAGCUUGAUUUAUAAAGCUUUUAAUUUUUUUUUGCGCUGUUCGAACCCCAAAAAAUAAAACAAGAAAAAGCGUCUGUUUUUUUAAAGCAGUUUGUUUAUCCCCAUACUUGCUUGGUAUUGCGUAUCAUAUUACAUCGCCCAUAGCGCGCACGUCAACAAAGGGAGGAGGACAGGCUGUACGUUCAGCAUACUGUUGACUGCCUCUUUAUGUC
Gadus morhua (Atlantic cod) is the source of this 1694-nucleotide long non-coding RNA. The record is from Ensembl. NCBI's taxonomy places the organism in Eukaryota, Metazoa, Chordata, Actinopteri, Gadiformes, Gadidae.